RNAcentral lists this ribosomal RNA (1451 nucleotides) under uncultured organism. RNAcentral describes it as "SSU rRNA". It matches the Rfam family "Bacterial small subunit ribosomal RNA". The record is from RNAcentral.
GAACGCUAGCUACAGGCUUAACACAUGCAAGUCGAGGGGCAGCAUGGUCUUAGCUUGCUAAGGCCGAUGGCGACCGGCGCACGGGUGAGUAACACGUAUCCAACCUGCCGUCUACUCUUGGACAGCCUUCUGAAAGGAAGAUUAAUACAAGAUGGCAUCAUGAGUCCGCAUGUUCACAUGAUUAAAGGUAUUCCGGUAGACGAUGGGGAUGCGUUCCAUUAGAUAGUAGGCGGGGUAACGGCCCACCUAGUCUUCGAUGGAUAGGGGUUCUGAGAGGAAGGUCCCCCACAUUGGAACUGAGACACGGUCCAAACUCCUACGGGAGGCAGCAGUGAGGAAUAUUGGUCAAUGGGCGAGAGCCUGAACCAGCCAAGUAGCGUGAAGGAUGACUGCCCUAUGGGUUGUAAACUUCUUUUAUAAAGGAAUAAAGUCGGGUAUGGAUACCCGUUUGCAUGUACUUUAUGAAUAAGGAUCGGCUAACUCCGUGCCAGCAGCCGCGGUAAUACGGAGGAUCCGAGCGUUAUCCGGAUUUAUUGGGUUUAAAGGGAGCGUAGAUGGAUGUUUAAGUCAGUUGUGAAAGUUUGCGGCUCAACCGUAAAAUUGCAGUUGAUACUGGAUAUCUUGAGUGCAGUUGAGGCAGGCGGAAUUCGUGGUGUAGCGGUGAAAUGCUUAGAUAUCACGAAGAACUCCGAUUGCGAAGGCAGCCUGCUAAGCUGCAACUGACAUUGAGGCUCGAAAGUGUGGGUAUCAAACAGGAUUAGAUACCCUGGUAGUCCACACGGUAAACGAUGAAUACUCGCUGUUUGCGAUAUACUGCAAGCGGCCAAGCGAAAGCGUUAAGUAUUCCACCUGGGGAGUACGCCGGCAACGGUGAAACUCAAAGGAAUUGACGGGGGCCCGCACAAGCGGAGGAACAUGUGGUUUAAUUCGAUGAUACGCGAGGAACCUUACCCGGGCUUAAAUUGCAGAUGAAUUACGGUGAAAGCCGUAAGCCGCAAGGCAUCUGUGAAGGUGCUGCAUGGUUGUCGUCAGCUCGUGCCGUGAGGUGUCGGCUUAAGUGCCAUAACGAGCGCAACCCUUGUUGUCAGUUACUAACAGGUUCCGCUGAGGACUCUGACAAGACUGCCAUCGUAAGAUGUGAGGAAGGUGGGGAUGACGUCAAAUCAGCACGGCCCUUACGUCCGGGGCUACACACGUGUUACAAUGGGGGGUACAGAGGGCCGCUACCACGCGAGUGGAUGCCAAUCCCCAAAACCUCUCUCAGUUCGGACUGGAGUCUGCAACCCGACUCCACGAAGCUGGAUUCGCUAGUAAUCGCGCAUCAGCCACGGCGCGGUGAAUACGUUCCCGGGCCUUGUACACACCGCCCGUCAAGCCAUGGGAGCCGGGGGUACCUGAAGUGCGUAACCGCGAGGAGCGCCCUAGGGUAAAACUGGUGACUGGGGCUAAGU